This 279-nucleotide unclassified non-coding RNA is filed under the name plant metagenome. Its description in RNAcentral is "partial contains small subunit ribosomal RNA, internal transcribed spacer 1, and 5.8S ribosomal RNA". The record is from RNAcentral.
UUUCCGUAGGUGAACCUGCGGAAGGAUCAUUAUUGUAUAAUCGGGCGUCUACUUCGGUCGGUCAUGCCAUCCACUUUCUAACCCCGUGCACUCACACGGCGGAACAGGUAAUUCGUAAUUUGUCUACUGCCGAGUGCGACUUCUUACUUUCUGCGGCUUACUUUAAACACUAGUCACAGUCUAUAACGACAUAUCGAAAUAUAUAUAAACUUUUAACAAUGGCUCUAUUGGCUCUCCCUUCGACAAAGAACGCAGCAGCUCUGACGACCACACAGAAGA